Molecule: ribosomal RNA, 465 nt
Filed under: uncultured bacterium
Lineage: Bacteria
Description: partial 16S ribosomal RNA
Rfam family: Bacterial small subunit ribosomal RNA
Source: RNAcentral
CCUACGUGUGGCAGCAGUGGGGAAUAUUGCGCAAUGGGCGAAAGCCUGACGCAGCGACGCCGCGUGAGGGAUGAAGGUCUUCGGAUCGUACACCUCUGUCAGCAGGGAAGAACGGUCACUGUGCUAAUCAGCAGUGACUUGACGGUACCUGACAAGGCAGCACCGGCUAACUCCGUGCCAGCAGCCGCGGUAAUACGGAGGGGGCGAGCGUUAAUCGGAAUUACUGGGCGUAAAGCGCGCGUAGGCGGUAUGUCAAGUCAAGGGUGAAAUCCCCGCGCUCAACGUGGGAACUUCAUUUGAAACUGGCAAACUGGAGUGUGUGAGAGGAUAGUGGAAUUCCAUGUGUAGGAGUGAAAUCCGUAGAUAUCUGGAGGAACAUCAGUGGCGAAGGCGACUAUCUGGCACAUAACUGACGCUGAUGAGCGAAAGCGUGGGUAUCAAACAGGAUUAGAUACCCGGGUAGUC